RNAcentral lists this long non-coding RNA (281 nucleotides) under Panax ginseng (ginseng). RNAcentral's name for it is "long non-coding RNA (PGIN_LNC018895)". The record is from RNAcentral. Lineage: Eukaryota; Viridiplantae; Streptophyta; Magnoliopsida; Apiales; Araliaceae.
AGGAUUAAGGAUUAAGGAUUCGUACUUUGUUUUAUCCAUGUCCAAAAAUACCUCAAAAAUAAUCAUAGUGGUGUAAAAUUCAAGAAUGAUCAAAAUAUGGAUACAAUCAAAGCUAGUAUCCACAAUAGAUAUUUUAGACGAAAAGGGAAAAUUUUCAUUUUUUGAUGAAUAGUGUCGUAUUCGUGUAUAGUGUCGUAUACGUGAAUAGUGCCGUAUACGUGAAUAGUAACUCCGACACCAAAAGUUUCAAAUUUGAUAAAAAUUUCAGAUCAAUAUUUCAG